GGCGAACGGGUGCGUAACACGUGAGCAAGCUUCCGAUUUGUGGGGGAUAGCCGGCCCAACGGCCGGGUAAUACCGCAUACGUUCAUCGAGCGGCAUCGCUUGGUGAGGAAACCUCCGGGGCAAAUCGAGGUGCUCGCGGCCUAUCAGCUAGUUGGUGAGGUAACGGCUCACCAAGGCGACGACGGGUAGCCGGCCUGAGAGGGCGACCGGCCACACUGGGACUGAGACACGGCCCAGACUCCUACGGGAGGCAGCAGUGGGGAAUAUUGGGCAAUGGAGGAAACUCUGACCCAGCGACGCCGCGUGCGGGAUGAAGGCCUUCGGGUUGUAAACCGCUUUCAGUAGGGAAGAAGCGAAAGUGACGGUACCUGCAGAAAAAGCACCGGCUAACUACGUGCCAGCAGCCGCGGUAAUACGUAGGGUGCAAGCGUUGUCCGGAAUUAUUGGGCGUAAAGAGCUCGUAGGCGGUUUGUCGCGUCUGCUGUGAAAUCCCGAGGCUCAACCUCGGGCCUGCAGUGGGUACGGGCAAACUAGAGUGUGGUAGGGGAGAUUGGAACUCCUGGUGUAGCGGUGGAAUGCGCAGAUAUCAGAAGAACACCGAUGGCGAAGGCAGAUCUCUGGGCCAUUACUGACGCUGAGGAGCGAAAGCGUGGGGAGCGAACAGGAUUAGAUACCCUGGUAGUCCACGCCGUAAACGUUGGGAACUAGAUGUAGGGUCCAUUCCACGGAUUCUGUGUCGCAGCUAACGCAUUAAGUUCCCCGCCUGGGGAGUACGGCCGCAAGGCUAAAACUCAAAGGAAUUGACGGGGGCCCGCACAAGCGGCGGAGCAUGCGGAUUAAUUCGAUGCAACGCGAAGAACCUUACCAAGGCUUGACAUAUACCGGAAAAGCAUAGAAAUAUGCUCCCCGCAAGGUCGGUAUACAGGUGGUGCAUGGUUGUCGUCAGCUCGUGUCGUGAGAUGUUGGGUUAAGUCCCGCAACGAGCGCAACCCUCGUCCUAUGUUGCCAGCACGUAAUGGUGGGAACUCAUGGGAGACUGCCGGGGUCAACUCGGAGGAAGGUGGGGAUGACGUCAAAUCAUCAUGCCCCUUAUGUCUUGGGCUUCACGCAUGCUACAAUGGCCGAUACAGAGGGCUGCAAUACCGCAAGGUGGAGCGAAUCCCAAAAAGUCGGUCUCAGUUCGGAUUGAGGUCUGCAACUCGACCUCAUGAAGUCGGAGUCGCUAGUAAUCGCAGAUCAGCAACGCUGCGGUGAAUACGUUCCCGGGCCUUGUACACACCGCCCGUCAAGUCAUGAAAGUCGGUAACACCCGAAGCCAGUGGCCUAACCGCAAGGAAGGAGCUGUCGAAGGUGGGAUCGGUGAUUAGGACUAAGUCAUAACAAGGUAGCCGUA
RNAcentral lists this ribosomal RNA (1393 nucleotides) under uncultured bacterium. RNAcentral's name for it is "bacterial SSU rRNA". It matches the Rfam family "Bacterial small subunit ribosomal RNA". The record is from RNAcentral.